This 509-nucleotide ribosomal RNA is filed under the name bacterium enrichment culture clone ALO1_GLFRUDD03F5D5M. Its description in RNAcentral is "bacterial SSU rRNA". It matches the Rfam family "Bacterial small subunit ribosomal RNA", at positions 9 to 511 of the family's 1533-position model. The record is from RNAcentral.
GAGUUUGAUCGUGGCUCAGAUUGAACGCUGGCGGCAUGCCUUACACAUGCAAGUCGAACGGCAGCACGGGAGCUUGCUCCUGGUGGCGAGUGGCGAACGGGUGAGUAAUGCAUCGGAACGUAUCCUGGAGUGGGGGAUAACGUAGCGAAAGUUACGCUAAUACCGCAUAUUCUGUGAGCAGGAAAGCGGGGGACCUUCGGGCCUCGCGCUCUUGGAGCGGCCGAUGUCGGAUUAGCUAGUUGGUGAGGUAAAGGCUCACCAAGGCGACGAUCCGUAGCAGGUCUGAGAGGAUGAUCUGCCACACUGGAACUGAGACACGGUCCAGACUCCUACGGGAGGCAGCAGUGGGGAAUUUUGGACAAUGGGGGCAACCCUGAUCCAGCCAUGCCGCGUGAGUGAAGAAGGCUUUCGGGUUGUAAAGCUCUUUCGCGAGGGAAGAAAUUAGCACCGGACAAUACCUGGUGUAGAUGACGGUACCUUGAUAAGAAGCACGGCUAACUACGUGCCAG